UUAUAUUUGAUAGAUUUAAACUACCUCUUGAAGCAUCAAAAACCUCUGUACAUCCUAUACUAAAAUAU
RNAcentral lists this transfer RNA (68 nucleotides) under Hycleus scutellatus. Its description in RNAcentral is "tRNA-Gln". The record is from RNAcentral. Lineage: Eukaryota; Metazoa; Arthropoda; Insecta; Coleoptera; Meloidae.